AAUGAACGUUGGCGGCGUGGAUUAGGCAUGCAAAUCGAGCGAGAACCGGAGCAAUCCGGGGAAAGCGGCAAACGGGGUAGUAAUGCAUCGGUACGUGCCCUCAGGACGGGGAUAGCCAGGGGAAACCCUGAUUAAUACCCGAUAAUCUCGAGAGAGCAAAGGUUUACUGCCGGAGGAGCGGCCGAUGUGGCAUCAGGUAGUUGGCGGGGUAACGGCCCACCAAGCCUUAGACGCCUAGGGGGCGUGAGAGCGCGACCCCCACCACUGGGACUGAGAUACUGCCCAGACACCUACGGGUGGCUGCAGUCGAGAAUCUUCCGCAAUGGGCGAAAGCCUGACGGAGCGACGCCGCGUGCGGGAUGAAGGCCCUUGGGUUGUAAACCGCUGUCAGGGGGAUGAAAGCGCAAGCUUGACAGAGCCCCAGAGGAAGCACGGGCUAAGUUCGUGUCAGCAGCCGCGGUAAGACGAACUGUGCGAACGUUAUUCGGAAUCACUGGGCUUACAGGGU
Molecule: ribosomal RNA, 508 nt
Filed under: uncultured bacterium
Lineage: Bacteria
Description: bacterial SSU rRNA
Rfam family: Bacterial small subunit ribosomal RNA
Source: RNAcentral